RNAcentral lists this ribosomal RNA (497 nucleotides) under uncultured bacterium. RNAcentral's name for it is "partial 16S ribosomal RNA". It matches the Rfam family "Bacterial small subunit ribosomal RNA", at positions 28 to 507 of the family's 1533-position model. The record is from RNAcentral.
GAUGAACGCUGGCGGCGUGCCUAAUACAUGCAAGUCGAGCGAACGGACGAGAAGCUUGCUUCUCUGAUGUUAGCGUCGGACGGGUGAGUAACACUUGGAUAACCUACCUAUAAGACUGGGAUAACUUCGGGAAACCGGAGCUAAUACCGGAUAAUAUUUUGAACCGCAUGGUUCAAAAGUGAAAGACGGUCUUGCUGUCACUUAUAGAUGGAUCCGCGCUGCAUUAUCUAGUUGGUAAGGUAACGGCUUACCAAGGCAACGAUGCAUAGCCGACCUGAGAGGGUGAUCGGCCACACUGGAACUGAGACACGGUCCAGACUCCUACGGGAGGCAGCAGUAGGGAAUCUUCCGCAAUGGGCGAAAGCCUGACGGAGCAACGCCGCGUGAGUGAUGAAGGUCUUCGGAUCGUAAAACUCUGUUAUUAGGGAAGAACAUAUGUGUAAGUAACUGUGCACAUCUUGACGGUACCUAAUCAGAAAGCCACGGCUAACUACGUG